GGAUCCAGACUUUGAUCAUGGCUCAGGACGAACGCUGGCGGCGCGCCUAACACAUGCAAGUCGAACGGAGCUGAGAGGAGCUUGCUUUUCUUAGCUUAGUGGCGAACGGGUGAGUAACGCGUGAGUAACCUGCCCUGGAGUGGGGGACAACAGUUGGAAACGACUGCUAAUACCGCAUAAGCCCACGGCCCGGCAUCGGGCUGAGGGAAAAGGAUUUAUUCGCUUCAGGAUGGACUCGCGUCCAAUUAGCUAGUUGGUGAGGUAACAGCCCACCAAGGCGACGAUUGGUAGCCGGACUGAGAGGUUGAACGGCCACAUUGGGACUGAGACACGGCCCAGACUCCUACGGGAGGCAGCAGUGGGGGAUAUUGCACAAUGGGGGAAACCCUGAUGCAGCGACGCCGCGUGGAGGAAGAAGGUUUUCGGAUUGUAAACUCCUGUCGUUAGGGACGAUAAUGACGGUACCUAACAAGAAAGCACCGGCUAACUACGUGCCAGCAGCCGCGGUAAAACGUAGGGUGCAAGCGUUGUCCGGAAUUACUGGGUGUAAAGGGAGCGCAGGCGGACCGGCAAGUUGGAAGUGAAAACUAUGGGCUCAACCCAUAAAUUGCUUUCAAAACUGCUGGCCUUGAGUAGUGCAGAGGUAGGUGGAAUUCCCGGUGUAGCGGUGGAAUGCGUAGAUAUCGGGAGGAACACCAGUGGCGAAGGCGACCUACUGGGCACCAACUGACGCUGAGGCUCGAAAGCAUGGGUAGCAAACAGGAUUAGAUACCCUGGUAGUCCAUGCCGUAAACGAUGAUUACUAGGUGUUGGAGGAUUGACCCCUUCAGUGCCGCAGUUAACACAAUAAGUAAUCCACCUGGGGAGUACGACC
This 874-nucleotide ribosomal RNA is filed under the name uncultured Bacteroidota bacterium. Its description in RNAcentral is "bacterial SSU rRNA". It matches the Rfam family "Bacterial small subunit ribosomal RNA", at positions 1 to 887 of the family's 1533-position model. Lineage: Bacteria; Pseudomonadati; Bacteroidota. The record is from RNAcentral.